Molecule: long non-coding RNA, 7504 nt
Filed under: Citrus sinensis (sweet orange)
Lineage: Eukaryota; Viridiplantae; Streptophyta; Magnoliopsida; Sapindales; Rutaceae
Description: long non-coding RNA (CSIN_LNC003747)
Source: RNAcentral
AAAAAUCAAAAUCUCCUCCGAAGUCUCCAUCAUAAUCAGCAGCAUCAGAGACAAUAUCUCCGAUUAAAAGCCCACCAAGCAUUCCGCCAAGCAAUCCAGUUCCAAAUCCCAGUCCCCCAUUACUCUUCUUCUGUGGCUUCACAGGCGGGUACCCGUAUCCCUGUUGUGGCGGUGGAGGCGGGUACCCGUAUCCCGGUUGUUGCGGUGGGUAUGCACCAUUCGGCGCCGCUCCUUGAGGGGGUUGUGGUGGGUAACCGUUCCUUGCCUGAGGCAGCGAGGGGUAAGCGUGAGCCAUCGGCGCCGGAUAAGCAGUCACGGGCUCGCCGGGAGGAGGAGGAGGAGGAGGAGGAAUCCAAGAGCUCCUUGAUCGGGACGAUUACUUCGCCGACGGUUUUAUCGCCGAGUAAGCCGUCGCUCUUGAUCUUGAAAUCGAGCGUGAGGCGAUUCUGCUGGGCCAAGGACUCGUUGAAGGUGAACUUAAUCGGGAAAUUCCACGUGGGGUUUGAACCGCCGGAUCGGUCCACGUGCGUCUUGACUUUCUGUUUCUUGAUGGUGUGGUCGCCCGAGAUCGAAACGACGGCGUACACGUCCAUCUUGGAGAUGAAGUGGACGUCUUUGAGGUGUUUUGCGGAGAUCACGUUGAGAUCUAAAGUUCUGUAAGAGGCCAUAAUUGCUAAUAACUUUUGAGAGAACUGAAGAUUUUUCAAAAGAUCGCUUUCUGCGGAUUGAGAAAAUUAGCGGAGGCUAUAACACGAUGCGGUGUAUUUAUACCGUCAAUGCGGACUUAUCCUCCGGCCUUUGUAAAAUACCAAGGAAAAGCAACAAAGUCCGCGUCAACGCGUUUGGUUGGGAACUGUGCGCCCGUAAACAACAUAAUAACAUUCAGAUCCAUAGCUUUUCCAUAUUUUUUCAAAUGACGAAAUAUUUAUAUAGUGGAUGAGGUCUUUGAUUCUCAUUCAAAAACUAUUUCUUAAAAACAAUUAAACAACUUAACUGGUUCAAGACAUUUCAAUAGGGCAUAGGGACAUAUUUGACAUUAAUGUAUAAAAUAUAACAUUAUUUAAGAAAGUAUAAAAAGUAAGGGACCCUUUUUCGUUUUUGGGAAAUGAGGGACCCAGAUUUGAUUGUUUCUUUUGCGCCCUGACUUAACCAUGGUUAAGUAUGUUGUUUUUUUUUUUCCGGGGCGGUUAGUAAAUUCUUUAGAUUAUUCUCAAGUUGUGUGGAAGUGGAAUGGUCUGCCAUUUGACUGUUAGAUAUUUGUUGUAUUUUAUUUAUAAAUUCUAUAGUUUGCCGAAACACGAGAUCGAAUCGUAUAAGAUUCGCAAUGGAAUCAAGUACGCUAUUCCCACCAAAUUCUGAAAACGUCCAAGCAAAAUUGAAUGUCGGAACUGAACCUGAAAGUAGCUGUAAUCUUUAAAUCAUGCUUUAUUAUUUUGUGGGUGUUGGCUUGGUACUGUAAGGCGGGCGCCUACCUUCCCCUGUAAGGCCAAGGCACCUGCCUUCCCAUUGUAAAUCAUAAGAAAUUGUCAACGUCACACCAAUUGGACGCGGUCGGAGCUUUGAUAUUCUUUUCCUAUCAUAGAAUUUCUAGAUUACAAUCACGAUAACGAUUGCUUUUGCGUACCAAUGACGGAUUCCUAUUACCAACUUUCUUAGCUCCCAAGUAAUUCAAAUCAGUCUUAAACUUCAAUUUGCUAUGUGUAUAUUAACUUCUAAUAAAAAUCAUAGGUGCCUAGAUCCAAUCUUCAGAGUGUGAUGGGCACAUAUCCUCAUGACCUUUUCAAGUCGGCCACAAUUUCAUGCCAUCUCAUCAAAAGGCUCAACAUCUGAUCCGAGAUGUCUAUGCUCACGGGAAAGAUGAGCAACCAUUCACGUGAUUAUUGAUGAUGCUCUUUGCCACAAUCUGCUCUGUGCUUGUACUUUCUUGCCCACCCGACAUAGAUUUGACAUGGGGUGUCUCAUUAUGAACAAUGGUAGCCCCAUCAUCCAGAUGCUUCUUCAGACAUGAUUUUGGCUGGACACUUGGGUGCCACAAUUGAUGCCGAGGCGCAAUAGACCUUGGUUUUGUUGAUUCACCAGUUGUCACUUGCUUCUUCACCCGUGGAGCUUCAUUAGGGACUUUAACAACAAGCUACUUGUCCAGUCAAAGAAGUGCCGAGGAUGAAGCUUCCGGGGCUUGCAAGUAAUAUUCUACUUCCAUAUUGCCAAAUAGGGGUCUGUUUUUAACCGCAUGAGCAAAUGCUGCCUCAGCGUCAGAUUUGCAUUUGAACCGAACCUGGCAGGUUGAGGAUCUCCAGAACACGCAAGGAGGAGAAUGAAGCUGUCCGAAACGUGCACAACUUGCUUUCAGCUAAACAGAGGGCAAAGCUGAUUGACUCGAGAAUUGUAUCACUAUCAUUUUGGGCUCCCUGAACUUUCUUGAAGUAUCACGCUUCUUCUGCGAAUACUUUCUCCGUUUUUCCUGGACUUUCAAGCUCAUCCGCGCACCCCUUCUCAGAGGUUUUUCAAGUUUCCUAUCGCCAGCCUCUGUCUUUUCUUCACUCAACAAUUUCAGCUCAUUCAAUCUUUUUGGUUCUUCCACAGACAUUUGUUCAGGACCUGUAAUGCUGCCGGUUAGUCCCGCAUUUCUAUAAUCGUCAGCUUUGAGCCGUUUUUUUGGGGGGCUUUAAAGCAGAAGGCAGGUCUUGAGCAGUCCUGCUGUUAGGACUCUUAGCAGCCAUACCACAGACCAUUGACUUAGUGGGACAACUUUCAAUUGUUCCAGACUCUGCUGCUGGGAUGACAGCCACUUCACAUAGACGACAGAUCUGUAUUCCAGGAAGAACUGCAGCAUGGUUGCGGGGAUAUUUUGUCGCACACUUUGAAAUGGAUUAUGAGCAAGAGCUGACAGAUAAUCAAGUAACUGAGAAUGUUUGCUAUUAACUUGUAAACCAUCUAUCUUCUCUCUAGCCUUGAAAUUUGAGGAAAAGGUGCCACAGGCUCCUUCGCCUGAUUCUCUUUUUACCUUUUUAUGACCAUUGUCCCAAUAUAUACAAUGAGUGUAACAUAUAGGUUGAAUUAUUUGCAAGCAAAUAGCAGCCCUUGCAAGAGCCAAUGUCAGAUUGAAGCAUUCGUCACAAGGACAAGCUCGAUCUAUUAUUAUUGUAAUUAAAGAGGCAUCGAUGAUACCUAUAUUUCAUUAAUAUAUAUAUAUAUAUAUAUAUACAUACAUAAUAUGGAGAAGUUUGCACAGCAGAGUCUGUCCCCCUGUUGAGUGAACCCACUACUCACUCAAAAUCACCUUUUGUUUGCUGCUCUAACAGUCCUUUUCACUUCAAUUAAACAUAUUUAAUAAUUCGCAAAUUGAAUUGCACAGAUUAUUAUUAGAUUAAAGAAGCUAUUUGUAUGUUCAUAAUUUAUUGGUCCAAUAAAGUCAUAAUAAAUACAUUUUCACCAAUCAACCACCAUUUCAGUCGAUAGGCGCUGCUCACGUCUUUCAAGCAACAAUCUUCCGUCAUUGGGUACUCCAUCAUUAUCAUGUAUAUGAGUGAGACUCUUAUUAAUUAUCACUUUACAUGUAAAAGAAUAAACAAACACUCAUUGAUUUUUUUCUCUUUUCGCAUUUCAAGAGUGAAAAACAUAUGCAAGCAAACAGAAGCACGCAGUGCAAAUUUUGGAAUGCCAGUACCACCCACGCUUGUCAAUGCUGCACGUGAGGAGCAGUUGGGCCUAAAUGCAGUCCAAAUGGGCCCCUAAUGAAUGAAAAAAGUGGGACCACUUGCAUUUUACCAACUCUAAAAGCGACCCGCUUUGUCCAAUCACGAAGGCCCAUAUGAGACAAUAGCUAACCACCACCACCACCUCGCUAGAGCAACCACUGCGUGGAGAGUUUUCGUAAAUGAAAAUUAAAAAAAAAAAAUUUAAAAAAAUUCAGUUGAAUGCUAUCUAGUGUCUAUAUAUAUGUAUAUGCAAUUGAAUCUGGUUAAGUUGAAAAUUAGAUUUUGGUGAAAGCCAAUGAAUGGUCUAUCAAUUAUUAAUAAUGAGAAAGUGAUAAGUAUCCAAUUCUUGUUACACCAAGUAAUGGAAUCUAUUUAAUAAGCAUGGAAGCUAGCGAUCGAUAUUUGAUCAUUUGGGUUUUGGUUUAAAUGAUCAUAAGUAAUGACUCCACCGAACAGGGACCACUAAAUAAUAUGAAAUGUGGUACCAACCCUUAACCUUAAUUGCACAAAUGAACUUAAAUUAUGACGGAUUGAGACCGUUUAACAAAUAUUUUUAUUGUCUUAACCUUGCUACGACCAAUAUAACUAACACGGAAGUGGGGUUCAUGUCUUAACCUUGAAUUGUUUGAAGUGGGGUUCAUGUCUGGGUAUUUAAAAAGUUCAAAAAAUUCUUCACACACAAAUCUAUUUCUUGGUUUGGCUUGUUUGACUGUUUGAGAGAGGGGGGGAAAAAAAUUGACAGCACCGAGUUACAGCUGAAGAGAAUAUUCCAUGUACAUCAUAGGAAAGAUUGAUGGAAUGUUUUACAUGAAGUCUGUCAAAUACUUGGAUAGUGGCUUUUUUAUUAUUAAUUAUAUAUAUUUACAUAUAAGUCAAAUUCGAUUGUACAUGAAUUAACGGAGUGAGUCAUGCGACAGCAAUGUUUACUAUGUGUAAUAAUCUAUUAUAUCAAACAAAUAGGUCGUGUAGUGAAGAAAAAUGGUAAUCAAAUUAGUUACUCAAAAGGUCACGAUUCCACAAAUCAAAUAAUCAACCUCACCUGACAUGGAGUUGAAGUGCGGUUCAUGUUUGGUUCUGUCAAGUGGUAGACAAAAGUUUUUGGUUUAUAUGAAAGGGAUCCUAAAUCAGAAUAUCAAUGAGAAUGAGAUCCAAGUAAAUUUCACGUGUGGCACAUUCACAGAUGUUGGAAGAGUCUGGUUUCACACAAUGUCAGCAAGAAAAUUCAUUUUACAAGAAUCCAUCGGUUGCCGAGGGUCGUCACUUUUGCUGACAUAAUUCUCAACGUUAAAUUUUUGUUUUUUUUCCUGCUACUGUUUAUUGCCUUUUCUGUAUUGGUUUACAAAGAAAGCAUCAUUGUCACUUCGAGGAGGAGUUGACACAAAAAGAAUUCAAACAAAAUAUGGUGGCUGAUGAAACCCCAUGACCCCUUUAGAAUAAUUGCUUUAAACUUGAAGCAACUUUAAAAAUUGUCCGCAAUUUAAUUAAGUUAAAAGUGCAAAAGCAAAAUAUUCUUAUCGUUCGACAUUUUAUUCUUUAGAUGCAAACGCAAUUUUUGCAGAAAGUAACAAACUAAGUAAAACUCAAAAUUCUAUUAACGGUGCAUUUGAUAUUGAGGUUGGAUUUUUGUAAUUUAAGUUACAACACUAAAGUGUUUGGUAAAUAUAGUUUGGAAGCUGCGUUGAUAUGAUUUUUUACUGGUAUAAUAGAAAAUCUAUUAUAUCUUUAAUAAUUUUGUCAAAAUCAUUAUUUAAAAUUUAUAUUUACUACUUGUUGUUAAUUUUUGUUUCCUAAUUAUAGUUUUUUUUUCUAUAACAACUGUAAUUUAAAAGUUAUAUCACCUAAAUUCUAAUUAGGACCUAAGAGAACAUAAAAUAUAAAAAGUAAAAAUUCCCAAAAAUCUCCUCCAUCAAAAUUAAGUAGCAGUAGAAAUAAUAUCCUAUCAUAAAACCCAACUGUGUCAACAAAUUAAAUCAUUCUAAUUAUAGAUAAAAUUUUACUUUAAACUUCAAGCAACUUUAAAAAUUGUCCGCAAUUUAAUUAAGUUCAAAGUGCAAAAGCACAACAUUCUUAUCGUUCCACAUUUUAUUCAUUAGCUUUUUCAAGAAUUAACAAAGUAAAACAUAAGAUCCUACUAAGAGAAUAUAAGAUAUAAAAAGUGAAAAUCCCCAAAAUCUCCUCCAUUACCAUAAAAAAUGAUAUCUUAAAAACCUCAAACAUUCUUCCGCACAAACCCAGCUCCAAACCCCAUUCCCCACGUUAUUCUUUAAUAUUAUAGUCAUUCUCUCAUAUGCAUUCGUGUCAAAAAAUUAAAACAUUCUAACUAUAGAUAAAAUUUUGCGACUUAGGCUCCCAAACCAAAACCAAACCUUAACUUAUUGACAUCCAACGGAUAAUCUCACUUGAGGUUCAUUCACAUACAAUACUUUUCAAGAGCCUAGUUUGGUUUGCCUCAAUGGUAGCAAGAAAUUUUAGAGACAAGAUUGAACAAGCACCCAUCAUUUAAUCCUAAGUGCUAUAGUUAAGUUCAUAACAUUGCCAUUUUUAUUCAUGUGUGUAGAGAACAAAAAGAAUUCAGAGGCCCAAGCGAAAGCAACAAUAUCACUUCAAGAAGGAUCCCAACAACGGCCAUAACAGCACCCCAUGGCCCCUUCAGAAUAGUGAAGUAAUAAACUUGAAAGCUGCUUUAAAAAUUUCCCAUUUAUGUAGUACAUAGAUCACAAAAUUUGAGUGUACAUAAACAUUAAAUCGCUCAUUUUCAUUGACAACCAUUAAAGUGCAAAGCAAAAUAUUCUAUAUGUACAUUCCACAUUUUAUUCUUAAUGUACGUAAGGAAAAGCUAAUAUAUAUAACAAAGAGAAAAGUAAAAUCCAAAAUAACUAAGUCCAAAUACCAUAUGGUAUUUAAAAAAAAAAGUAGUCAAAAUACCGUAAUAAUAAUAAUAAACUAUUAAACUAUCUAAAAAAUUAGCAGAAAAUAAAAUUCAAAAAUCAAAAUCUCCUCCGAAGUCUCCUCCAAAAUCUCCAUCAUAAUCAGCAGCAUUAGAGACAAUAUCUCCAAUUAAAAGCCCACCAAGCAUUCCGCCAAGCAAUCCAGUUCCAAAUCCCAGUCCCCCAUUACUCUUCUUCUGUGGCUUCACAGGCGGGUACCCGUAUCCCUAUUGUGGCGGUGGAGGCGAGUACCCGUAUCCCUGUUGUGGUGCAGGCGGGUACCCGUAUCCCUGUUGUGGCGGUGGAGGCGGGUACCCGUAUCCCGGUUGUUGCGGUGGGUAUGCACCAUUCGGCGCCGCUACUUGAGGGGGUUGCGUGGUGGGUAACCGUUCCUUGCCUGAGGCAGCGAGGGGUAAGCGUGAGCCAUCGGCGCCGGAUAAGCAGUCACGGGCUCGCCGGCCUUGGCGUGCUUUUUCCCAACGGUGGGUUCAUUGAACUUGUACGAGAAGUGUAACUCGCCCUUGGGUUUUUCCAACGACGAGCGGACUUGGUAAGUAACGAACUUCAUCGAUAUAGCGUCUCCCGAGGAGGAGGAGGAGGAGGAAUCCAAGAGCUCCUCGUAUCCCUGUUGUGGCGAUGGAGGCGGGUACCCGUAUCCCUGUUGUGGCGGUGGAGGCGGGUACCCGUAUCCCGGUUGUUGCGGUGGGUAUGCACCAUUCGGCGCCGCUACUUGAGGGGGUUGCGGUGGGUAAUCGUACCCUGCCUGAGGUUGUGGGGGGUAAGCGUAAGGCACAAAGCUCGAUCCGGCUGCCAUCUGUGCCAGAUAAGCAGUCACGGGCUCGUCGGCCUUGGCGUGCGUUUUCCCGAUGGUGGGUUCAC